Molecule: ribosomal RNA, 261 nt
Filed under: uncultured prokaryote
Description: partial 16S ribosomal RNA
Rfam family: Bacterial small subunit ribosomal RNA
Source: RNAcentral
UACGUAGGUGGCAAGCGUUGUCCGGAAUUACUGGGUGUAAAGGGAGCGCAGGCGGGACAGCAAGUCAGCGGUGAAAUACAUGGGCUUAACCCAUGAACUGCCGUUGAAACUGCCGUUCUUGAGUGGAUCAGAGGCAAGCGGAAUUCCGAGUGUAGCGGUGAAAUGCGUAGAUAUUCGGAGGAACACCAGUGGCGAAGGCGGCUUGCUGGGGUCUAACUGACGCUGAGGCUCGAAAGUGUGGGGAGCAAACAGGAUUAGAUA